UGGGGGAUAUUGCACAAUGGGCGAAAGCCUGAUGCAGCGACGCCGCGUGGGGGAUGAAGGCUUUCGGGUUGUAAACCUCUUUCGCUAUCGAACAAGGCCCGCUUAGGGUGGGUUGAGGGUAGGUGGAGAAGAAGCGCCGGCUAACUACGUGCCAGCAGCCGCGGUAAUACGUAGGGCGCGAGCGUUGUCCGGAAUUAUUGGGCGUAAAGGGCUUGUAGGCGGCUUGUUGCGCCUGCUGUGAAAACGCGGGGCUUAACUUCGCGCGUGCAGUGGGUACGGGCAGGCUUGAGUGUGGUAGGGGUGACUGGAAUUCCAGGUGUAGCGGUGGAAUGCGCAGAUAUCUGGAGGAACACAGAUGGCGAAGGCAGGUCACUGGGCCAUUACUGACGCUGAGGAGCGAAAGCAUGGGUAGCGAACAGG
Molecule: ribosomal RNA, 420 nt
Filed under: bacterium
Lineage: Bacteria
Description: partial 16S ribosomal RNA
Rfam family: Bacterial small subunit ribosomal RNA
Source: RNAcentral